AUGGACACCUCCACCCUCGCCGCCGUCGCUUCCUUCGUCGCCUUGUCCACGAAGCCCCGCCUCCUCCCGCCACUCAUCCCCUCUCGCAGCCUUCCACGCACCCGCGGCUCCCUUGCCGUCUGCUGCUCUCACUCCCACGCCUCUCCUCCGCCCUCGCCCCUCCCGUGCACUGCGUCCGAUGAGGAGGAGGUCGCUCCUCCGCACCUCCGCCUCUGCCGGCUCGCCGAGGAGUUCGGCGCUCUCCCGGACGCCGACCGCGCGCGCCGCCUGCUCGCUUACGCGGCCGCGCUCCCGCCGCUGCCCCAGGCGGACCGCGUCGCGGCCAACCGCGUCAUGGGGUGCGUCGCGCAGGUCUGGCUCCUGGGCAGCUGCGAUCGCUCGGGACGCAUGCGGUUCGCGGCCGACUCCGACUCCGAGCUCUCGCGCGGGUAUUGUUCCUGCCUCGUCUCCGCGCUCGACGGCGCGGGCCCCGAGGAGGUGCUCGACGUGGACCCCGCCGAUCUCGCGCCGCUCGGUGUGGCCGCGGGGGCGCGGUCCCGGGUCAAUACGUGGUACAACGUGCUCGUCGGCAUGCAGAAGCGGGCACGGGCAGCCAUUGCGGCGCGCGAGGGCAGGCGUCGUGGGGAACCGUUCCCGUCGCUCGUGAUCGGCCGGGACGGCGCCGUCCGCGCGCAAGGAAGCUACGCCGAGGCCAAGGCGAAGUUUUUAUCUCCUGACCAGUCCAAGAUUUCCGAGCUUGUGAAUGCCCUCAGAGAGAAACAAAUUGGGAUUGUGGCCCAUUUCUACAUGGAUCCUGAGGUGCAAGGCAUACUAACUGCUGCAAAGAGGCAAUGGCCCCACAUUCACAUAUCCGACUCAUUGGUAAUGGCAGAUAGUGCUGUUCAGAUGGCUGAAGCAGGAUGCAAAUAUAUCGCUGUGCUAGGUGUUGACUUCAUGUCAGAAAAUGUCCGUGCAAUACUUGAUCAAGCAGGAUUUACUCAGGUUGGUGUUUAUAGAAUGUCCAGCGAGCAAAUUGGUUGUUCCUUGGCAGAUGCUGCUUCAAGUUCUGCUUAUACACAUUUUCUUAAGACGGCAUCAAGAUCUCCUCCUUCUUUACAUGUCAUUUAUAUCAAUACCUCACUGGAAACAAAAGCUCGUACUCAUGAACUUGUUCCUACGAUAACCUGUACCUCUUCCAAUGUUGUUGCAACUAUACUACAGGCAUUUGCUGAAAUACCAGAUCUUAAUGUCUGGUAUGGUCCUGAUUCCUAUAUGGGUGCGAACAUAGCAGACCUAUUUAAGAGAAUGACUAUCAUGUCAGAUGAAGAGAUUACAGAGAUACAUCCAGAUCACAACAGGAAAACUAUAAGUUCAUUAUUACAACGUCUUCAUUACUAUCAGAAUGGUAACUGUAUUGUGCAUGAUAUGUUUGGCCAUGAAGUUGUGGAGAAAAUAAAGGAGGAAUACUGUGAUGCAUUUCUAACUGCACACUUUGAAGUCCCAGGAGAAAUGUUCUCUUUGUCGAUGGAAGCAAAGACGAGGGGAAUGGGAGUAGUUGGAUCCACUCAGAAUAUCUUAGAUUUCAUUAAAUACCAUUUGAAGCAGACUCUGGAUCGGAAUGUUGAUGAUCAUCUUCAGUUUGUAUUGGGAACAGAAUCAGGAAUGAUCACUUCGAUUGUUGCUGCUGUCCGGCAAUUAUUUGACUCCUAUGAAUCUUCCAAAGAAGUAGCGAAUGAUUUAGAACAGAUUAGUAUCGUGCCUGGUGUGUUUUCUGGUGAAGGGUGCUCUAUCCAUGGUGGCUGUGCGUCAUGCCCUUACAUGAAGAUGAAUUCUCUCGAGUCGCUAUUUAAAAUCUGCCAGCAGCUUCCUGGUGAAGACAACAGUUUAUCUGUUUAUCAGGCUAGUCGAUUGAAUGCUAAGACUUCCCUUGGGAAAUUGGUUGCGGAGGUUGGGUGUGAGCCAAUUUUGCAUAUGAGGCAUUUCCAGGCGACAAAGAGAUUACCAGACAAGCUCGUUCACCAGAUUAUCCAUGGUAACGGAGGGGAACCUUUAUGA
This 2034-nucleotide ribosomal RNA is filed under the name Triticum aestivum (bread wheat). RNAcentral's name for it is "partial small subunit ribosomal RNA". Lineage: Eukaryota; Viridiplantae; Streptophyta; Magnoliopsida; Poales; Poaceae. The record is from RNAcentral.